UGCAGAGUGACGAGGAAGUGCAGUUAGAAACAAGCCACACGUUAUCGAGAACACAGCACCCGUUAUCGGGGGAGCGCUGAGAAACCUGACAAUCUGUCAAGGAUACACACUUAUUCUGAAUUAUCUCUGAAUAAUUUAUGAGCACACUCUUAUUCUUUCUACCUUAAGCCUCAAAGCUAUGCUGGGUGGAAGAGAAGCCAUAUGGCAAAUAUCCGAAGUCAAAUAAUCCUGCUCCCUGCAGGUGAAAAAUAAUUUAUUUGGUUUUCCAUAAGACACAAAUUAGGGGUGUAUAUCAGAAGACAGGUUCUCUGAAAGUUGCUUAAAGCUCUGAUGAGCACUGAAUGAUAAUGGUGUCUUGCUUUCCUGGACACAGCACUUUCUCGGAGUCUCCUUAGGUUCUAUUACAUAUUUUAAAAUUAUAUUUGUGUGGGUAUGUGGAUGUGUGGGUGUGUGUAUGUGAUUGUGUGCAUAUAUGGGUGUGUGGCCAUGUGACUGUGUGCAUAUAUAGAUGUGUGGGUAUGUGAUUGUGUGCAUAUGUGGAUGUGUGCUGAUCUGCAGCCCAACCUUGGCUUCUACAUGUAAAGUAGAUACAGUGUAGGUGAACCUGGUCCAUGAAAGUAUCCAAAUGUUUUCCUAAACAGACUUGCAGGCAUCAGGAGACAAGCUGCUUCUUAAGACAUGGCUCCGGCCUCAUGGACACAGAUUACUGGACACCUAUAAUGUGCCAAUCACUCGUACAGAUGCUAUAAACACAGGAGUUACAACCCAUGUAUGCUGACUGGAAGAUUAGAUUUACAUCCAGGUGCUCUGUAAAGUUUCUCAGGGAUUGCCUCUAUGAUGAUGGUGACGUGAGUCGGGGGUUGGGGGAGAGGACAAGGCCAUGUGGACCGUGGCAGGGAAAAUACUUUAGGAAGACCAAAUAGCACAGGUAUAUCCCAAACUUGGAAGCGAGCCAAAGCUCUGUGUGUGUGUGUGUGUGUGUGUGUGUGUGUGUGUGUGUGUGUGUGUGUGUGUGUCACAGCAAUGGGGCUGGGAAUGAUUUAAUCAGAGACAGUGCAGACUGCGGGGGUCUGCCAAAGGCAAAUGGUUCAGGAUGGAUCUCUGUAUCUGUCCUCAGCCAAGCCGAGCUAACUCAUUCAAAAGGCUAGGUUGUCUCCCUCCUGAAGUCUCUUCCUGCAGAGGCAAGCAGAUUGCCCCAAGUCACCUGGCAGCUGUGCGGCACAGCCUCCCCUCUGGACUCGGGGCUGGUGGGACUGCAGCCUGUUCACCCACCAGCUAACACACCCAUCACCACCACUCCAGUUGCAGCCUCCAGCCACAGGAUAAAUGGGGGACCCAGAAGACAGCCUAGCUCAGGAUAAAGGAGGAUCCUUUGUGCAACAUCUGGAACUCGAAAGUGCCAGUGAGCUGUCCUGCCUUCUUCUGGUCCAGCCCAGUCAUUUCUGAGACUUUGACUAUAAGCAUUCAAAAGUAUGAUCAAGGGGAGGGACUGAGAACUCCAACAUGGUGAUGCUUCAACAAAAAAUUGGGUAAUGUUGAAUUAUUAUUUAUUCACACCUGGUUUCCUGGUCAUCUGACACCACUGCUUGCUGUGGGAUGGUCUGUUUGUCAAAUGUGUUGCUGAUUGGUCAAUGAAUAAAUCACUGAUUGGUCAGUGGCCAGGCAGGAAGUAUAGGCGGGACUAACAGAGAGGAGAAUUGAGAGAACAGGAAGCUGGGUGAGGGAGACACUGCCAGCCGCCAUCAGGACAAGGAAGAUGUAAAGUACCGGUAAGCCACAAGCCACGUGGCAAGGUAUAGAUUAAUAGAAAUGGAUUAAUUUAAGCUGUAAGAACAGUUAGCAAGAAGCCUGCCACAGCCAUACAGUUUGAAACCAAUAUAAGUCUCUGUGUUUACUUGGUCGGGUCUGAGAGGUUGUGGGACUGGCGGGUGUCAGAGAUUUGUCCUGACUGUGGGCCAGGCAGGAAAACUCAAGCAACAAAUGGCGUCCAACGUGGUGGCAAGAGUUUCCACCUAAAACCUGAGUAAAAAGAUUCUAAAACGGAGCUAAAAACAGUUCCUAAUUGUCUCUCUCAAAUGAGCGGCAGCUGCCGGUUUGAGCUACUGGCGGGUUCCUGGCGUGUGCGCUUGGCCUGCAGUAUGGCGGGAAUGAGGCCUCUGCAAGUGGCACAUUAAGCUGCGUGGUGGAUUUAGCCUUUGGUAGUACAAAACAAAAAAAAAUAGGUUUCUGGGCUACACGCUGCUUGGAUAAAAGCAUAGACCCACUACUUCUGAGAGUUGAUGGCUCCCAGAGCUGGUGGAAAACGUAUCACCGCCAUGUUGGGAAGCUAAAGUGGGCGGAGCCAGCAGCGCCAGCGCCAUUUCAGGCUUAAAAGGCUACAGUUCAAAGCAAUAGGCUCAAGCUAAUAUAAAAAAAUAAGCCAUGUAAAGAUGGCUACCACACAGAGAAUCUGGAUUAUGUUCUCUUUGAUAUUCGUAACUAAAGAAAAACAUUUGAUUACAAAAGCUAUUGAGUUAUACCAAAAUGUAUAUUUUAAAGGUACCUUGACUUCAAAAUUUGGAUGUAAGGAUAUGUUGCUUUGGAAAGGAGGCUCUGCUUUUAUUUCCACAGAAAGCCAGAGGCUAUGGAUUUGUUCCAGAUUAAGACACAUCAGGUUUGACCAGCCAAGACCACCUGAAAGGUCUCCGAUGACACCAUGGCCCAGAUGAUCCAACAUCCAGAACCGUUUCAAGGCAACUGGCUCAGAUGAUACAGCCUCACGGACUACUCCAUGAUCCUAAAAUUUUCUUUGUUUCCCCAGAAGAUACAGCGCCCCCUCCAGCAGGAAGUAGUAAGAGAAGCUACGCCCAAAUUCCCAAAUAUACCAAGCUGACUUUGGAGAUGUGUAACGGUUAAAACCUUCCUUUUUAAGAAAAGAAAAGGAACAUGGGAAAUGAAAUCAUCUACAGACAAAGAACCUUGAUAAGAAAAAUAGCAGAUUUCCAUCAGCAGCACCUUAGGAUCCAAUCUAAUAUCAUGGAGCCAUCCUCCUCCAAGAAGAUCUCAGCCAUCUGCAACUUGUAUAAUCCUGUACACUGUUCCACAGUCAGGAUCAUGGAAGUGGCAAGGAGUUUGCUGUUCACACUGAACAUCUGUGCCUCCACCAAUGGGACAGGCCCAGCAAAUUCUUAGGUAGGGAGCAUUUUCUACAAAUCAGGGAGCAUAGUUGAAUCUUUUGCAAAUGGACAUCAAAGCAUCACCUUCUAGAUGGUAACUCUUAAGUGAAUAAAUACCAAGUCAGGAAAAGGCAAGGGUGGAAAAUGAUGACAGAUUGGCCGUAAGCAAAUGAAGAAAGCAGAGACCGACUUCAGAAGAGGACUGUACUCCCACCCCGUCUGAUUUCUCAUAUGCCCGUGCUCGUCAAUAGACAUGUGGAAUGGGAAGACAGCCGGAGGGGUCUGCCGAGUAGCAGAGACUGCAGUAACACUGUACAAAUGAAGCAUAAUAAGGAAUGCCGUGUUCUUCUCUAAAUGUACAUUUAAAAGUGAAAUGGUACAGCUCAAAAGUAUGAUUUAUGGCUGCUGGGGAAACAGAAGAUACCUCUCACAAAAAUCACUCUGUUCAUUCAUCAGAAUCAGAAAUUAAAAGUUUAUUUUGUUUUUA
Molecule: long non-coding RNA, 3642 nt
Organism: Peromyscus californicus insignis
Lineage: Eukaryota; Metazoa; Chordata; Mammalia; Rodentia; Cricetidae
Exons: 4
Source: RefSeq, a predicted model, not a curated record